RNAcentral lists this ribosomal RNA (254 nucleotides) under uncultured bacterium. Its description in RNAcentral is "partial 16S ribosomal RNA". It matches the Rfam family "Bacterial small subunit ribosomal RNA", at positions 524 to 777 of the family's 1533-position model. The record is from RNAcentral.
GACGAACCGUGCGAACGUUGUUCGGAAUCAUUGGGCUUAAAGGGCGCGUAGGCGGGCUAGCAAGUCAGGGGUGAAAGCCCACGGCUCAACCGUGGAAGUGCCUUUGAUACUGCCAGUCUGGAGGGAGGUAGGGGCGUGCGGAACUUCCGGUGGAGCGGUGAAAUGCGUAGAUAUCGGAAGGAACACCGGUGGCGAAAGCGGCGCGCUGGACCUCUUCUGACGCUGAGGCGCGAAAGCCAGGGGAGCGAACGGGG